RNAcentral lists this ribosomal RNA (497 nucleotides) under uncultured bacterium. RNAcentral's name for it is "partial 16S ribosomal RNA". It matches the Rfam family "Bacterial small subunit ribosomal RNA", at positions 28 to 507 of the family's 1533-position model. The record is from RNAcentral.
GAUGAACGCUGGCGGCGUGCCUAAUACAUGCAAGUCGAGCGAACAGACGAGGAGCUUGCUCCUCUGACGUUAGCGGCGGACGGGUGAGUAACACGUGGAUAACCUACCUAUAAGACUGGGAUAACUUCGGGACACCGGAGCUAAUACCGGAUAAUAUAUUGCACCGCAUGGUUCAAUAGUGAAAGACGGUUUUGCUGUCACUUAUAGAUGGUUCCGCGCCGCAUUAGCUAGUUGGUAAGGUAACGGCUUACCAAGGCAACGAUGCGUAGCCGACCUGAGAGGGUGAUCGGCCACAUUGGAACUGAGACACGGUCCAGACUCCUACGGGAGGCAGCAGUAGGGAAUCUUCCGCAAUGGGCGAAAGCCUGACGGAGCAACGCCGCGUGAGUGAUGAAGGUCUUCGGAUCGUAAAACUCUGUUAUUAGGGAAGAACAAAUGUGUAAGUAACUAUGCACGUCUUGACGGUACCUAAUCAGAAAGCCACGGCUAACUACGUG